Molecule: long non-coding RNA, 1649 nt
Filed under: Lathyrus oleraceus (garden pea)
Lineage: Eukaryota; Viridiplantae; Streptophyta; Magnoliopsida; Fabales; Fabaceae
Description: Pisum sativum (pea) long non-coding RNA (PSAT_LNC000935)
Source: RNAcentral
UUUCUUCCUCAUCCCACGUUCUCUCUUUAUCUCUCUCUCACAUAUAUUUUAAUUUUUUCUCUACUCCUAAAACCCACUUGCUCACUCUCUUAAAAUAUCAUUGUUUUGCUCUCGAGACACACAAAAAAAGGGUGCAGAGGUUUUCCAUCACCAUCAAUCUACCAACAUGUCACCUUGGUAAUAAACACCAUCAUUUUUUGGAUAAGCCUGGAUUUUCUUUCAUAAAAUACACCAUCACACCAUCUCCAUAGGGGUACAGGAAACAAUCUCAUCUAACGGAUCCAAUUUCAUUACCAUGUACGAACUCCCUCCUUCAUGUUAUUUUUCCAUCAACCACAUGGACUCGUCAAAAACUGAACGAUAAUGCACAUGAAUCCGGCGCCAGCAACAACACAUACCACAAAAGAGCAACGCCCAUCGGCAGCCUCGCACCUCCGAUCAUCGUACCAGGCCACUGAUCCACGCAUAACCUUGUGAUGCUGCUCAAUGCUACGGUUAGGAAACACUUCUCUUACUCUUUGUCUCCAUCUUGAUAUGUUUAUUUCUCUUUGAAUUUUGUAUGAUUAAGAGGAAAUGAGAAUGAUGGUGUGUUAGAGAUUUAUUUAUGUGUGUUGUUUUUAUUACAUGAAUCAUGACUUUACAUGUUUGUUUAUGUGAGGAAGAAAUAGAGAUUGAGAGGGGAUGUGUGUUUUGAGGUUUUAUAUGAAGAAAAAGAGUAUUGUUGUGUUGUGUUUUUAAAUCAAAAAGUGCAUCAAUGAAGGUUUUUAGAGAAGAAGAUGUUGGAAGAAAGAAAAAGCAUUCUUACUGAACUUCCUCUGUUUUGAUUGUUAUUAUUAUUUAUCAUUUAUUUUCUUUUAUUAUAUUAAUGUGACACUUGUCAAAUUUUGAGUCGUUUUUUUUAAUUUUUUUUAAAAUUUGCUUUCUUUUCAAGCAUGGGCUGGUUUUUUUUGUUCUCAUUACUAGAACUUUUAUUUCUUUUAUUUUCUAAUUAACUAAGUUUUUUUUCAUUGUGUGUGUUUUUUUAUUGGUUGUUUCAAAUAGUCUCCACUAUUCUUUGUAACAUUUUAGUUUAUCUUAAUAAAAAACAAUUAAAAAUGAGAGAAAGGGGAGCUAAGUAUUUUGUUUGACCAAGUUUUUUUUUUAAUUGAAGAAAUAAUUAAUAAGGAGCAUUAAUGUCCUGAUUUAAUUUUGAAUGAUCAUGGCCUUUUUUUCUCACGAGAGGAAAGAGGGUGUGUUUAUCUAUUUUUUAUCUAUUAUUAUUUUUUUUUCUAUAUGUAUUUUGGUUAAUUAAUAGCAUAAGAAUGAACUAGGACUUUAAAAGAUAAGUUAGACUAGUGAGUUUUGGGCCUUUAGAUUUAAUUUCUAUUUCUUCACCCUUUUAUUUUAUAUAACACUCAUUGGCCUUCAUCUCAUAUUUGUUUUCGUUAUUGUUUUUUUUUAACUAAGUUAGUUAAUUAAAAAUUGAUUUAAUUAAUUGAUUUCUGUUAAUUAUAUUUUAUUAGAUCAACUAUAUGAUUACCUUAGUUUUUAACAAAUUGGUAUAAAUAAUUAAUUCUAAUUAAUUUAGUGAAACGAUUUAAUAAAUUUUUUAUCACCUAAUUUUUUCAAUUAACCAUCCCCUUGUUUCACCAUUUCAUUUUUUGUUUCAC